GAUGAACGCUGGCGGCGUGCCUAACACAUGCAAGUCGAACGGAAAGGCCCUGCGCUUGUGGGGUUGUCGUUGGCGGAAAGCGGGAGGGUAACACGUGGAUCCCCUCCCUCUAUUUCGGGGAAAAUUUCGGAAAACGGGGUCAAAUCCGAUAUGAUCUCUUGCACCGCGUGGGGCAUUGGAAAAUUUCGGCGGUUGGGGCUGGAAUCGCGGGUUAUGAGCUUGUUGGGUGGGUUGGUGCGGACCAAGGCUAUCACGGGUAGCCGGCCUGGGAGGGUGAACGGCCACAAGGGGACUACGGUACGGACCAGAAUGGUACGGGAGGCAGUAGUGGGGAAUAUUGCACAAUGGGCGGAAGCGUGAUACAGAGACGUCGCGUGCGGGAUGACGGCCUUCGGGUUGUAAACCGCUUUCGCCUGUGACGAAGCGUGAGUGACGGUAAUGGGUAAAGAAGCACCGGCUAACUACGUG
RNAcentral lists this ribosomal RNA (468 nucleotides) under uncultured bacterium. RNAcentral describes it as "partial 16S ribosomal RNA". It matches the Rfam family "Bacterial small subunit ribosomal RNA", at positions 28 to 507 of the family's 1533-position model. The record is from RNAcentral.